UCAGGAUGAACGCUAGCGGCAGGCUUAACACAUGCAAGUCGAGGGGCAGCGCGGGGCGGCAACGUCCUGGCGGCGACCGGCGGAAGGGUGCGUAACGCGUGAGCGACAUGCCCGUUGCCCGGGGACAACCGGUGGAAACGCCGACUAAUCCCCGAUGGGACGGAGGCCCUCAUGGGUCUCUGUUGAAAGUUACGGCGGCGACGGAUUGGCUCGCGUCCGAUUAGCUUGUUGGCGGGGUAACGGCCCACCAAGGCUACGAUCGGUAGGGGUUCUGAGAGGAAGGUCCCCCACAAUGGGACUGAGACACGGUCCAUACUCCUACGGGAGGCAGCAGUGAGGAAUAUUGGUCAAUGGGCGGAAGCCUGAACCAGCCAUGCCGCGUGCGGGAAGGAGGCCCUAUGGGCUGUGAACCGCUUUUGCCUGGGGGCAAUAAGGGCGUCGUGCACGUCCGAUGAGAGUACCAGGCGAAUAAGCAUCGGCUAACUCCGUGCCAGCAGCCGCGGUAAUACGGGGGAUGCGAGCGUUAUCCGGAUUCAUUGGGUUUAAAGGGUGCGUAGGCUGUGCGUCAAGUCAGGGGUGAAAUUCCGGGGCUCAACUCCGGGGCUGCCCUUGAUACUGUCGCGCUGGAGUGCGGAUGCCGCCGGAGGAAUGAGUGGUGUAGCGGUGAAAUGCUUAGAUAUCACUCAGAACACCGAUUGCGAAGGCAUCUGGCGAAUCCGUAACUGACGCUGAGGCACGAAAGCGUGGGGAUAGAACAGGAUUAGAUACCCUGGUAUUCCACGCCGUAAACGAUGAUGGCUAACCGCCGGCGACACACUGUCGGUGGCCAAGCGAAAGCGAUAAGCCAUCCACCUGGGGAGUACGUCGGCAACGAUGCAACUCAA
Molecule: ribosomal RNA, 884 nt
Filed under: uncultured Bacillota bacterium
Lineage: Bacteria; Bacillati; Bacillota
Description: bacterial SSU rRNA
Rfam family: Bacterial small subunit ribosomal RNA
Source: RNAcentral